GGAGAGGAAAUUAGUUCAAUGGUAGAGCGCCGCUAUAACCAGCGGAGACAUCGGUUCGAGUCCGAUACAGACUCUCUCA
This 79-nucleotide transfer RNA is filed under the name Caudoviricetes sp. Its description in RNAcentral is "tRNA-Leu". The stretch from base 11 to 67 matches the Rfam family "tRNA", at positions 7 to 64 of the family's 71-position model. From Rfam's summary of the family: Transfer RNA (tRNA) molecules are approximately 80 nucleotides in length. Lineage: Duplodnaviria; Heunggongvirae; Uroviricota; Caudoviricetes. The record is from RNAcentral.